Long non-coding RNA from Hibiscus syriacus, 1797 nucleotides. RefSeq lists it as uncharacterized. The record is from RefSeq and is a predicted model, not a curated record. Lineage: Eukaryota; Viridiplantae; Streptophyta; Magnoliopsida; Malvales; Malvaceae. The transcript is spliced from 3 exons.
CAUUUCCCCCCUCGGCGCUGUUCUCUCUUCUUUCUUCUCGUCUCCUUUCCUCAUUCUGGCCAGGUAACCACCAAGGCCACUGUGGCCUUCCACCGCUCACGGGCUCCGAGAAGGAGACAAUAACGUUCCAAAUCCAUCUAUUUCAAAACCCAAACCCCAAAAAUGACCCUAAAAUGCUCACCUCUCUGACCCCAAAUAAACCAAAAACAAAAGGGCAUUUAGAGGCUACCUCCGACCGACAAAGAUCUCUUCUCCCUCCGGCGUAGACGAUGACCAAACGUUCGAGCAGGGUAAGGUUUUUCUUUUGGGACCGAUUUCUUCUCCUUCUUUUUUGGUUGCUGGUUAUCGCCUGUUAAUGCUCUCUCUCUGGUUUUUCCAUGGUUUUCUUUUUUUUGCACUGGCUAUGGAUGAUAAAAAAUGGCUCCCCUUUUUGUGCUUUUCGAAUGGUUCCCCCUCAUGACUCCGAAGAGAUCCGAUGACUUUCAGGUCGUUGGAGGUUAUUUUUGCCCUUGCCACAAGCAUUUCAGUUGCAAGGCUCUUGGCAGAGGACAAUCAUCAGUGGGGACCAGCUGACGUGGAGGCUUUCAUCGUUGCAAGGAGAGCUGGAAAUGCAAAGGGGCUUAUGGUUCUGAUGAAAUUUAUAAAAUGAUUGUUUUUUAGAUUCAAAUUUUCUAAAGGGGAUAGUGUAGGGAUCGUGAGACGAGUGAAGCAAGAGUUUAAGGCAUGGACCCAUCCAUCGUCAUGGGAUUGGUAAGGUAAGUAAAAUAUUCUUAUGUUGAUGGAUAAAGGUGUCAUGAAAUAUUUAGCAAGAUGUGUAGACUUUUCGUUAUAAGAGUAAAAUGUUAAGCUAGUAUAAGGCUCCUUGAGAUGAGAUAUGCUGUGAAAUUGAAUUGUUGGCCUGAUAAUAAUCGAUUGAUUUGAUUGGGUGAUUGAGUUAAAUAUCAUCCUAGUAUUUGUAUCACAGAGGUAAUUGAGAGGUUUUGAGUCUAUUCAUUUAUUUCAUGAAUAUCUGAGAGUAGUUGAGUGAUUGUAUCUAUAAGGAUCUGUGUUUAAAAAAGCGCUGCUUAAGCGCGAUUAAAGCGCUAAGCGACUCGAGCGAGGCCCCUGGCGCUUCAGCAUAGCAAAAGCGCUACGAAUUCGUUAAGCGGUAGUAAUCGGCGCUUUUGCAGCGCUUUUAGCAAAGCGCUAAUCGGCGCUUAAUUGCGAGUUUAGAAGAUACGAAUAUGGGGUUUAGCAUAUACAAUUUUUGGGCUUGUUUAGGGUUUAGCGGGCUAUUAGAUUAUCAGGCUUAGAUCGGUUUUUAGUUUAGGCGGGGUAGGGUAAAAAAUGCGAUUGAAAUAGGCGGUAAUUGAAGAAUUUACAGAGAACGAUUGAGGUUGAGCGGUAAAAAAUUCACAGAGAGCGAUCAUCUUCCACGCCUGUCGCCUAUGGCCUCGUGCUCCCGACUCCCGACUCACGACUCAAGUUUUGAUCUUCAUCUUCCUCUCAUCUCACUCGAGUCACGCUGCUGCUACACUUCAUCAACCGCGAGCGCUUUCGCUUAGCGCUUCGGCAUCUAGGACCCUAGGCGCUUUAGGGCGCUUUACGCUUUUUAAAGCCAAGAUAAGGAUUGAUUCUCGGUUUGGUUGUUGUUGGUAGAGUGUUCCCCGAUUUUUCAUUUAAGAUUGAACGCUUGUAAUAGGAGUAUAUGCAAACUUUACAAAUCCGAUGUCCUAACUGUGAUUUGAUCAGUUAACAGAUACUUCCCUUUAUGUUGUUUUAUUGUGUAUUGAUAAAUCAGAUAUUUGCAUGAUUUUU